Molecule: ribosomal RNA, 403 nt
Filed under: uncultured bacterium
Lineage: Bacteria
Description: bacterial SSU rRNA
Rfam family: Bacterial small subunit ribosomal RNA
Source: RNAcentral
AGAGUUUGAUCCUGGCUCAGAACGAACGCUGGCGGCAUGCCUCAUACAUGCAAGUCGAACGCAAGGCUUCGGCCUUGAGUGGCGCACGGGUGAGUAACGCGUGGGAACCUACCCUUCUGUGGGGGAUAACCGAGGGAAACUUCGGCUAAUACCGCAUACGCCGGGAAACCGGGAAAGAUUUAUCGCUGAAGGAUGGGCCCGCGUCGGAUUAGCUAGUUGGUGGGGUAAUGGCCUACCAAGGCUUUGAUCCGUAGCUGGUCUGAGAGGAUGAUCAGCCACACUGGGACUGAGACACGGCCCAGACUCCUACGGGAGGCAGCAGUAGGGAAUAUUGGACAAUGGGCGAAAGCCUGAUCCAGCAAUGCCGCGUGAGUGAGGAAGGCCUUAGGGUUGUAAAGCUCUU